RNAcentral lists this ribosomal RNA (492 nucleotides) under uncultured bacterium. Its description in RNAcentral is "partial 16S ribosomal RNA". It matches the Rfam family "Bacterial small subunit ribosomal RNA", at positions 29 to 507 of the family's 1533-position model. The record is from RNAcentral.
AGUGAACGCUGGCGGUAGGCCUAACACAUGCAAGUCGAACGGCAGCACAGUAAGAGCUUGCUCUUACGGGUGGCGAGUGGCGGACGGGUGAAGAAUACAUCGGAAUCUACUUUUUCGUGGGGGAUAACGUAGGGAAACUUACGCUAAUACCGCAUACGACCUACGGGUGAAAGCAGGGGAUCUUCGGAACUUGCGCGAUUGAAUGAGCCGAUGUCGGAUUAGCUAGUUGGCGGGGUAAAGGCCCACCAAGGCGACGAUCCGUAGCUGGUCUGAGAGGAUGAUCAGCGAAACUGGAACUGAGACACGGUCCAGACUCCUACGGGAGGCAGCAGUGGGGAAUAUUGGACAAUGGGAGCAAGCCUGAUCCAGCCAUACCGCGUGGGUGAAGAAGGCCUUCGGGUUGUAAAGCCCUUUUGUUGGGAAAGAAAAGCAGCAGGUUAAUACCCCGCUGUUCUGACGGUACCCUAAGAAUAAGCACCGGCUAACUUCGUG